UUGAAGGUGUGGAUCUUUCUAGCUUUUUGAUCAUUUUUCAUUGUAAAUUUUUCUCAACUAGAUCUUCUAGAAAUUAUCAGAUCUUGUUGGAUUCUUUAUACAUGAAUUGAUCCAGGCACACAGACUCUAGCAUAGUUCUAAAAUUUGAGUCUAGCCCCUCGUAGACUAUUUGACACGACCUCUAGAUCUUUAUUCCAUGGUAUGGGCAUUGGAUCAAGAAGUUCU
RNAcentral lists this long non-coding RNA (225 nucleotides) under Elaeis guineensis (African oil palm). Its description in RNAcentral is "long non-coding RNA (EGUI_LNC071080)". Lineage: Eukaryota; Viridiplantae; Streptophyta; Magnoliopsida; Arecales; Arecaceae. The record is from RNAcentral.